Molecule: ribosomal RNA, 346 nt
Filed under: uncultured Methanosaeta sp.
Lineage: Archaea; Methanobacteriati; Methanobacteriota; Methanomicrobia; Methanotrichales; Methanotrichaceae
Description: bacterial SSU rRNA
Rfam family: Archaeal small subunit ribosomal RNA
Source: RNAcentral
CAUGGCCGUCGUCAGUUCGUACUGUGAAGCAUCCUGUUAAGUCAGGCAACGAGCGAGACCCACGCCCACAGUUGCCAGCGUACUCUCUGGAGUGACGGGUACACUGUGGGGACCGCCGCUGCUAAAGCGGAGGAAGGAAUGGGCAACGGUAGGUCAGUAUGCCCCGAAUAUCCCGGGCUACACGCGAGCUACAAUGGUUGGUACAAUGGGUAUCUACCCCGAAAGGGGACGGGAAUCUCCUAAAACCAAUCUUAGUUCGGAUUGAGGGCUGCAACUCGCCCUCAUGAAGCUGGAAUCCGUAGUAAUCGCGUUUCAACAGAACGCGGUGAAUACGUCCCUGCUCCUU